Oppia nitens is the source of this 398-nucleotide long non-coding RNA. RefSeq lists it as uncharacterized. The record is from RefSeq and is a predicted model, not a curated record. Lineage: Eukaryota; Metazoa; Arthropoda; Arachnida; Sarcoptiformes; Oppiidae. The transcript has 3 exons.
CGGUCGACAAUCAUUGCUUGGAAACGGCAAUUGUUUUCAAUGGUUAUCCAAUAAUCAAAGUCUAACCCAUGAUGUGAAUAAUGGUCGCAAUGCAGGACCGGCUGAAGUGCCGUUUGCCGUAUGGAUUCAGCGGACAGAUAGACAAUAUGGAUCGGGUGUUAUAAUAAAUAAACGAUGGAUAAUGACAAGCGCUCACGUAGUUUACCAAUAUCCAGUUAAUGAUCUAAAAAUCUACCCGGGCAAAUUAGUUAUCAAUUUUAUCGGUUAUAACGAUGAUGGUUAUGAUGUUGAAAAAACAGUUAUACAUUAUAUGUAUGAAUCUAAUCGGCACCCGGCUAAUGAUCUGGCACUGAUUAAACUAACAGCUGACUUACCGCUUAUCAAUUCAAACGUUGGAC